CCUACGGGAGGCAGCAGUGGGGGAUAUUGCGCAAUGGGCGAAAGCCUGACGCAGCGACGCCGCGUGGGUGAUGAAGGCCUUCGGGUCGUAAAGCCCUGUCGAGGGGAACGAAACGGUCUCGACCCAAUACGUCGAGGCCCUGACGGUACCCCUAAAGGAAGCACCGGCUAACUCCGUGCCAGCAGCCGCGGUAAUACGGAGGGUGCAAGCGUUGUUCGGAAUCACUGGGCGUAAAGGGCGUGUAGGCGGUCCGCUAAGUCUGAUGUGAAAGCCCGGGGCUCACCCCCGGAAGGGCAUUGGAAACUGGCGGACUCGAGUCCCGGAGAGGAAGGUGGAAUUCCUGGUGUAGCGGUGAAAUGCGUAGAUAUCAGGAGGAAUACCGGUGGCGAAGGCGGCCUUCUGGACGGUGACUGACGCUGAGACGCGAAAGCGUGGGGAGCAAACAGGAUUAGAUACCCUGGUAGUCCACGCUGUAAACGAUGAGCACUAGGUGUCGUGGGUAUUGACCCCCGCGGUGCCGACGCUAACGCAUUAAGUGCUCCGCCUGGGGACUACGGCCGCAAGGUUAAAACUCAAAGGAAUUGACGG
This 588-nucleotide ribosomal RNA is filed under the name uncultured bacterium. Its description in RNAcentral is "bacterial SSU rRNA". It matches the Rfam family "Bacterial small subunit ribosomal RNA", at positions 338 to 916 of the family's 1533-position model. The record is from RNAcentral.